RNAcentral lists this long non-coding RNA (316 nucleotides) under Ananas comosus (pineapple). Its description in RNAcentral is "long non-coding RNA (ACOM_LNC027048)". Lineage: Eukaryota; Viridiplantae; Streptophyta; Magnoliopsida; Poales; Bromeliaceae. The record is from RNAcentral.
ACAGUAUUCAAACAACGAUUGCAUAAGAAAGUAUCAAAAAUAUAAAUACAACUAUGCUAUUACAAGCAUUCAUCUCAAAUUUUAUAUAAUACAUGCAUCUUACAUUUUAGUCUUCCAAAUACAAUCCAAAUUAUUACAAAUUAUUACAAUCUUAUUCUUUUCGUUUCCUUACAUCCCUAAGUAGCCAACUCAGGGUACCGCUAUCUCUGGUCUCGGUAGUAGGGCACUAACUACGGAGCUACGCCCUUUCCUCGUGCCGUCACGUCGCUCGCGUGUGAACCUGUACCCCCAAAAAUAACAUAGGGGUGAGAACUAU